UACGUAGGGUGCAAGCGUUGUCCGGAAUUAUUGGGCGUAAAGAGCUCGUAGGCGGUUUGUCGCGUCUGCUGUGAAAACCCGAGGCUCAACCUCGGGCCUGCAGUGGGUACGGGCAGACUAGAGUGCGGUAGGGGAGAUUGGAAUUCCUGGUGUAGCGGUGGAAUGCGCAGAUAUCAGGAGGAACACCAAUGGCGAAGGCAGAUCUCUGGGCCAUAACUGACGCUGAGGAGCGAAAGCAUGGGGAGCGAACAGG
Molecule: ribosomal RNA, 253 nt
Filed under: uncultured bacterium
Lineage: Bacteria
Description: partial 16S ribosomal RNA
Rfam family: Bacterial small subunit ribosomal RNA
Source: RNAcentral